Molecule: ribosomal RNA, 799 nt
Filed under: uncultured Glomeromycotina
Lineage: Eukaryota; Fungi; Glomeromycota
Description: SSU rRNA
Rfam family: Eukaryotic small subunit ribosomal RNA
Source: RNAcentral
AUCAACUUUCGAUGGUAGGAUAGAGGCCUACCAUGGUGGUAACGGGUAACGGGGUGUUAGGGCACGACACCGGAGAGGGAGCCUGAGAAACGGCUACCACAUCCAAGGAUGGCGGCAGGCGCGCAAAUUACCCAAUCCCGACACGGGGAGGUAGUGACAAUAAAUAACAAUACGGGGUUCUUUCGGAUCUCGUAAUUGGAAUGAGUACAAUUUAAAUCUCUUAACGAGGAACAAUUGGAGGGCAAGUCUGGUGCCAGCAGCCGCGGUAAUUCCAGCUCCAAUAGCGUAUAUUAAAGUUGUUGCAGUUAAAAAGCUCGUAGUUGAAUUUCGGGGUUAGUAGGUUGGUCAUGCCUCUGGUAUGCACUGGUCUCACUGAUUCCUCCUUCCUGAUGAGCCGUAAUGCCAUUAAUUUGGUGUUGCGGGGAAUUUGGACUGUUACUUUGAAAAAAUUAGAGUGUUUAAAGCAAGCUAACGCUUGAAUACAUUAGCAUGGAAUAAUGAAAUAGGACGUUCGAUCCUAUUUUGUUGGUUUCUAGGAUUGACGUAAUGAUUAAUAGGGAUAGUUGGGGGCAUUAGUAUUCAAUUGUCAGAGGUGAAAUUCUUGGAUUUAUUGAAGACUAACUACUGCGAAAGCAUUUGCCAAGGAUGUUUUCAUUAAUCAAGAACGAAAGUUAGGGGAUCGAAGACGAUCAGAUACCGUCGUAGUCUUAACCAUAAACUAUGCCGACUAGGGAUCGGAUGAUGUUAAUUUUUUAAUGACUCAUUCGGCGCCUUACGGGAAACCAAAGUGUUUGGGUUC